UACGGGGGGGGUAAGCGUUGUUCGGAAUUACUGGGCGUAAAGGGCGCGUAGGCGGCCGCCUAAGUCAGACGUGAAAUCCCUCGGCUCAACCGGGGAACUGCGUCUGAUACUGGGCGGCUUGAAUUCGGGAGAGGAAUGCGGAAUUCCAGGUGUAGCGGUGAAAUGCGUAGAUAUCUGGAGGAACACCGGUGGCGAAGGCGGCAUUCUGGACCGACAUUGACGCUGAGGCGCGAAAGCCAGGGGAGCAAACGGG
RNAcentral lists this ribosomal RNA (253 nucleotides) under uncultured bacterium. RNAcentral describes it as "partial 16S ribosomal RNA". It matches the Rfam family "Bacterial small subunit ribosomal RNA", at positions 524 to 776 of the family's 1533-position model. The record is from RNAcentral.